CAGCAGCCGCGGGAAUACGUAGGGUGCAAGCGUUGUCCGGAAUUAUUGGGCGUAAAGAGCUCGUAGGCGGUUUGUCGCGUCUGCUGUGAAAUCCCGAGGCUCAACCUCGGGCUUGCAGUGGGUACGGGCAGACUAGAGUGCGGUAGGGGAGAUUGGAAUUCCUGGUGUAGCGGUGGAAUGCGCAGAUAUCAGGAGGAACACCGAUGGCGAAGGCAGAUCUCUGGGCCGUAACUGACGCUGAGGAGCGAAAGCGUGGGGAGCGAACAGGAUUAGAUACCCCUGUAGUCCCUGUCUCUUAUAC
RNAcentral lists this ribosomal RNA (301 nucleotides) under uncultured bacterium. RNAcentral describes it as "partial 16S ribosomal RNA". It matches the Rfam family "Bacterial small subunit ribosomal RNA", at positions 509 to 807 of the family's 1533-position model. The record is from RNAcentral.